This 559-nucleotide long non-coding RNA is filed under the name Diabrotica virgifera virgifera (western corn rootworm). RNAcentral describes it as "uncharacterized LOC126892777". Lineage: Eukaryota; Metazoa; Arthropoda; Insecta; Coleoptera; Chrysomelidae. The record is from RNAcentral.
AAUAAUAAAUAUUGUGCUGUGUCAUAAUUUCAAACUCAUUAUGUUGCAGUCUUUUCCAGUUGAUAAAAUUGCAAUUCAAAAACUUUUAGAUUUGCACUGUAUGGAUGGCACAAGAAGAGAACAACAGUACAAGAACAUGAAACAUCUUAUUAUGAAUGUAUAUGUAUGUGAUCCUCAAAAAAUUAUUUUACAAAACAAGAUAGAGAAAGAGCUUUAAAAUUCCAAGGAUCCUGCAAAAUGUUUAUUUGGUGUACUAGUCGAAUAAUAGUAUCUAAAAAUAUUGAAACUAUUUUAAAACACAUUACGGGCAUGAUGAUGAUAUAGCACUUACAUAAAUACCAAAAUCAGAUAAAUAUCUCUUCAAAGUUUAUUUUGAGACUUUCUUCAAAAAUUAAACUUCAGACUGUUCAGGAUAGCAUAAUAGCAUAGGAGGCGAAUUAAAAAGAAUUGAUUUACUUACAAGAAAAGAUAUCACAAACAUUAAACUCUCUUAUGGCAUUGAUUUGAAAGGUGGGUAUAUAUGUACAAUGAUGAUGCAACCAGUGUUUAUUUUUGGGUU